This 550-nucleotide ribosomal RNA is filed under the name uncultured bacterium. Its description in RNAcentral is "partial 16S ribosomal RNA". It matches the Rfam family "Bacterial small subunit ribosomal RNA", at positions 354 to 895 of the family's 1533-position model. The record is from RNAcentral.
UGGGGGAAUUUUGGACAAUGGGCGAAAGCCUGAUCCAGCAAUGCCGCGUGUGUGAAGAAGGCCUUCGGGUUGUAAAGCACUUUUGUCCGGAAAGAAAUCCUUGGCUCUAAUACAGUCGGGGGAUGACGGUACCGGAAGAAUAAGCACCGGCUAACUACGUGCCAGCAGCCGCGGUAAUACGUAGGGUGCAAGCGUUAAUCGGAAUUACUGGGCGUAAAGCGUGCGCAGGCGGUUUGCUAAGACCGAUGUGAAAUCCCCGGGCUCAACCUGGGAACUGCAUUGGUGACUGGCAGGCUAGAGUAUGGCAGGAGGGGGGUAGAAUUCCACGUGUAGCAGUGAAAAUGCGUAGAGAUGUGGAGGAAUACGAUGGCGAAGGCAGCCCCCUGGGCCAAUACUGACGCUCAUGCACGAAAGCGUGGGGAGCAAAACAGGAUUAGAUACCCUGGUAGUCCACGCCCUAAACGAUGUCAACUAGUUGUUGGGGAUUCAUUUCCUUAGUAACGUAGCUAACGCGUGAAGUUGACCGCCUGGGGAGUACGGUCGCAAGAUU